AUUGAACGCUGGCGGAGUGCUUUACACAUGCAAGUCGAACGGCAGCACGGGGGCAGCCCUGGUGGCGAGUGGCGAACGGGUGAGUAAUACAUCGGAACGUGCCCGGUCGUGGGGGAUAACGUAGCGAAAGUUACGCUAAUACCGCAUACGAUCUGAGGAUGAAAGCGGGGGACCUUCGGGCCUCGCGCGAUCGGAGCGGCCGAUGUCAGAUUAGGUAGUUGGUGGGGUAAAGGCCUACCAAGCCGACGAUCUGUAGCUGGUCUGAGAGGACGACCAGCCACACUGGGACUGAGACACGGCCCAGACUCCUACGGGAGGCAGCAGUGGGGAAUUUUGGACAAUGGGCGCAAGCCUGAUCCAGCCAUUCCGCGUGCAGGACGAAGGCCUUCGGGUUGUAAACUGCUUUUGUACGGAACGAAAAGGCUCUGGCUAAUACCUGGGGCUCAUGACGGUACCGUAAGAAUAAGCACCGGCUAACUACGUG
This 484-nucleotide ribosomal RNA is filed under the name uncultured bacterium. Its description in RNAcentral is "partial 16S ribosomal RNA". It matches the Rfam family "Bacterial small subunit ribosomal RNA", at positions 30 to 507 of the family's 1533-position model. The record is from RNAcentral.